AGUGAACGCUGGCGGCAGGCCUAACACAUGCAAGUCGAGCGGCAGCGCGGGGGCAACCCUGGCGGCGAGCGGCGGACGGGUGAGGAAUGCAUCGGAAUCUACCUCGUUGUGGGGGAUAACCUCGGGAAACCGGGACUAAUACCGCAUACGACCUACGGGUGAAAGUGGGGGACCUUCGGGCCUCACGCGAUGAGAUGAGCCGAUGCCGGAUUAGCUAGUUGGCGGGGUAAAGGCCCACCAAGGCGACGAUCCGUAGCUGGUCUGAGAGGAUGAUCAGCCACACUGGAACUGAGACACGGUCCAGACUCCUACGGGAGGCAGCAGUGGGGAAUAUUGGACAAUGGGCGCAAGCCUGAUCCAGCCAUGCCGCGUGAGUGAAGAAGGGUUUCGGCUCGUAAAGCUCUGUUGUCGGGGACGAAUGUGCAGUAUUUGAAUAAAGUACUGUAAUGACGGUACCUGACGAGGAAGCCACGGCUAACUACGUGCCAGCAG
Molecule: ribosomal RNA, 492 nt
Filed under: uncultured bacterium
Lineage: Bacteria
Description: bacterial SSU rRNA
Rfam family: Bacterial small subunit ribosomal RNA
Source: RNAcentral